CCUACGGGAGGCAGCAGUGAGGAAUCUUGGUCAAUGGGCGCGAGCCUGAACCAGCCAAGUAGCGUGAAGGAUGGCUGCCCUACGGGUUGUAAACUUCUUUUAUAAAGGAAUAAAGUGAGGCACGUGUGCCUUUUUGUGUGUACUUUAUGAAUAAUGAUCGGCUAACUCCGUGCCAGCAGCCGCGGUAAUACGGAGGAUCCGAGCGUUGUCCGGAUUUAUUGGGUUUAAGGGGAGCGUAGAUGGGUUGUUAAGUCAGUUGUGAAAGUUUGCGGCUCAACCGUAAAAUUGCAAUUGAUACUGGCAGUCUUGAGUACAGUUGAGGUAGGCGGAAUUCGUGGUGUAGCAGUGAAAUGCUUAGAUAUCACGAAGAACUCCGAUUGCGAAGGCAGCUUACUAAACUGCCACUGACAUUGAUGCUCGAAAGUGUGGGUAUCAAACAGGAUUAGAUACCCCUGUAGUC
Molecule: ribosomal RNA, 460 nt
Filed under: uncultured bacterium
Lineage: Bacteria
Description: partial 16S ribosomal RNA
Rfam family: Bacterial small subunit ribosomal RNA
Source: RNAcentral